AGAGUUUGAUCAUGGCUCAGAUUGAACGCUGGCGGCAGGCCUAACACAUGCAAGUCGAACGGUAACAGGAAGCAGCUUGCUGCUUUGCUGACGAGUGGCGGACGGGUGAGUAAUGUCUGGGAAACUGCCUGAUGGAGGGGGAUAACUACUGGAAACGGUAGCUAAUACCGCAUAACGUCGCAAGACCAAAGAGGGGGACCUUCGGGCCUCUUGCCAUCGGAUGUGCCCAGAUGGGAUUAGCUAGUAGGUGGGGUAACGGCUCACCUAGGCGACGAUCCCUAGCUGGUCUGAGAGGAUGACCAGCCACACUGGAACUGAGACACGGUCCAGACUCCUACGGGAGGCAGCAGUGGGGAAUAUUGCACAAUGGGCGCAAGCCUGAUGCAGCCAUGCCGCGUGUAUGAAGAAGGCCUUCGGGUUGUAAAGUACUUUCAGCGGGGAGGAAGGGUGUAAAGUUAAUACCUUUGCUCAUUGACGUUACCCGCAGAAGAAGCACCGGCUAACUCCGUGCCAGCAGCCGCGGUAAUACGGAGGGUGCAAGCGUUAAUCGGAAUUACUGGGCGUAAAGCGCACGCAGGCGGUUUGUUAAGUCAGAUGUGAAAUCCCCGGGCUCAACCUGGGAACUGCAUCUGAUACUGGCAAGCUUGAGUCUCGUAGAGGGGGGUAGAAUUCCAGGUGUAGCGGUGAAAUGCGUAGAGAUCUGGAGGAAUACCGGUGGCGAAGGCGGCCCCCUGGACGAAGACUGACGCUCAGGUGCGAAAGCGUGGGGAGCAAACAGGAUUAGAUACCCUGGUAGUCCACGCCGUAAACGAUGUCGACUUGGAGGUUGUGCCCUUGAGGCGUGGCUUCCGGAGCUAACGCGUUAAGUCGACCGCCUGGGGAGUACGGCCGCAAGGUUAAAACUCAAAUGAAUUGACGGGGGCCCGCACAAGCGGUGGAGCAUGUGGUUUAAUUCGAUGCAACGCGAAGAACCUUACCUGGUCUUGACAUCCACGGAAGUUUUCAGAGAUGAGAAUGUGCCUUCGGGAACCGUGAGACAGGUGCUGCAUGGCUGUCGUCAGCUCGUGUUGUGAAAUGUUGGGUUAAGUCCCGCAACGAGCGCAACCCUUAUCCUUUGUUGCCAGCGGUCCGGCCGGGAACUCAAAGGAGACUGCCAGUGAUAAACUGGAGGAAGGUGGGGAUGACGUCAAGUCAUCAUGGCCCUUACGACCAGGGCUACACACGUGCUACAAUGGCGCAUACAAAGAGAAGCGACCUCGCGAGAGCAAGCGGACCUCAUAAAGUGCGUCGUAGUCCGGAUUGGAGUCUGCAACUCGACUCCAUGAAGUCGGAAUCGCUAGUAAUCGUGGAUCAGAAUGCCACGGUGAAUACGUUCCCGGGCCUUGUACACACCGCCCGUCACACCAUGGGAGUGGGUUGCAAAAGAAGUAGGUAGCUUAACCUUCGGGAGGGCGCUUACCACUUUGUGAUUCAUGACUGGGGUGAAGUCGUAACAAGGUAACCGUAGGGGAACCUGCGGUUGGAUCACCU
RNAcentral lists this ribosomal RNA (1530 nucleotides) under Escherichia coli. RNAcentral's name for it is "bacterial SSU rRNA". It matches the Rfam family "Bacterial small subunit ribosomal RNA". Lineage: Bacteria; Pseudomonadati; Pseudomonadota; Gammaproteobacteria; Enterobacterales; Enterobacteriaceae. RNAcentral also lists the same sequence under 1 other name. The record is from RNAcentral.